RNAcentral lists this ribosomal RNA (467 nucleotides) under uncultured bacterium. RNAcentral's name for it is "partial 16S ribosomal RNA". It matches the Rfam family "Bacterial small subunit ribosomal RNA", at positions 28 to 506 of the family's 1533-position model. The record is from RNAcentral.
GACGAACGCUGGCGGCGUGCUUAACACAUGCAAGUCGAACGGAAAGGCCCUGCUUUUGUGGGGUGCUCGAGUGGCGAACGGGUGAGUAACACGUGAGUAACCUGCCCUUGACUUUGGGAUAACUUCAGGAAACUGGGGCUAAUACCGGAUAGGAGCUCCUGCUGCAUGGUGGGGGUUGGAAAGUUUCGGCGGUUGGGGAUGGACUCGCGGCUUAUCGGCUUGUUGGUGGGGUAGUGGCUUACCAAGGCUUUGACGGGUAGCCGGCCUGAGAGGGUGACCGGCCACAUUGGGACUGAGAUACGGCCCAGACUCCUACGGGAGGCAACAGUGGGGAAUAUUGCACAAGGGGCGGAAGCCUGAUGCAGCAACGCCGCGUGCGGGAUGACGGCCUUCGGGUUGUAAACCGCUUUCGCCUGUGACGAAGCGUGAGUGACGGUAAUGGGUAAAGAAGCACCGGCUAACUACGU